Labeo rohita (rohu) is the source of this 391-nucleotide long non-coding RNA. RefSeq lists it as uncharacterized. The record is from RefSeq and is a predicted model, not a curated record. The transcript has 4 exons. Lineage: Eukaryota; Metazoa; Chordata; Actinopteri; Cypriniformes; Cyprinidae.
GAUUGCCAAAACUGUGCUGCCAAGAUGUUGUAACAAAUCUCGCGAUAGGAUAGAUCAUCUCGCGAUAGGAUAGAUUAUCUCGCGAUGGGAUAGAUUAGCUCGCAAUACAAUACAUUAUCUCGCGAGAAAACUUUAACACGUUUUUAUCUUUCCAUAACCAGGAGGAGAGCGCGUCGUUGUGUUACAAAGCUUUACGCGUUGAUUUAUUACAAAAUCACUGGUGGUGGAUGCACAACAUGACACCAUCAGCGUCAACAACAUUCGUGGACCCGUGGACACAUGUUGAGGUGGUCACAUAACGAACAUCUGUCAGGCCAUGUGCCACAACCAAACAAGUAUUGUCUCCAGUCCCAAAUGCUUCAUUGCCAUCCCAGUCCCAGAGGACCCCCAG